GCAGGAGCCACCUGUGGGUGGAGGGCCAGAUUAUCCGUGGUCCUGUGGCCCUCCUCACCCCCGCCUCCUUUGUUCAGUUCCCAAGGAGAUGGGGGUAGAGGUGUUGGUGACCCCAGGGGAGACUUGGGCUAUUUGUGUCCUUUCUUUCAAGGCUGGUCAUCUGUAGUCGAAGUGGAGGUCGUUCUUGAUGCCCCCACUUUGUGGGCUGCCCAAAUCCCACUGGCCUGUCCUGGGACUCCCCCUUUUACCUCCUUCCAACUGAUUUUGGGGGGCUGCAGCUCGGGCACUUUCCCAGCUGGGGCACUCAGCAACCUUCCCAUGGCUCGGGACCACAGCUGGCCCAGGGCAGGGGAGGCACCAAGCUGAAGGACCCCCCAGGACCUAAAUCUGGGACCUGCUCCUGCCUUAUGGCUUGGCCCUGUUACCUGCUCUUGGAGCUGGGGGCCUGUGCCCACCGCUGACACUCUUGCCCUAUGCACUGCCCGACUAGCUGGCCAGGCCUUCCCCAGUGAAGGCCCCCAUUCAGUCAGAGCCAGGGCCUCCUCAGAGGGCAGCCUGGGCAUCACAGCCUUGGGAUAGGGUUCACUCAGAAGCGUGCUGGGGGAACCAAGGUAGAACAAUGCCAGGUGGCCAACGGCAGAACCGGUCCCAACCAGAAAGGUCCAAGAUGGCGAUGGGGUGCCCUGCGCAAAACGAAACGUGUGCCAAAGGUGCCAUGUGCAGGAAAGGAAGGUCAGCGCAUGCCCCAAGUGCUCCUGCCCCAGCGACGACGUGGAGACCCCUCCCCCUGCACAUCCCGUAAGAGCCUGGCUCACCUGCCCUUCUGGGAGAAGGUGCUUUAGAGCUGACCCCGGCCUCCUCCAUCCACUGAUGGGUGAAUAACGCUUCUGCUCUGCUAUUCUGAA
RNAcentral lists this long non-coding RNA (905 nucleotides) under Equus asinus (donkey). Its description in RNAcentral is "lncRNA (ENSEASG00005026038.1)". The record is from RNAcentral. Lineage: Eukaryota; Metazoa; Chordata; Mammalia; Perissodactyla; Equidae.